ACUCCUACGGGAGGCAGCAGUGGGGAAUAUUGCACAAUGGGCGCAAGCCUGAUGCAGCCAUGCCGCGUGUGUGAAGAAGGCCUUCGGGUUGUAAAGCACUUUUCAGCAGUGAGGAAGGCGGACGUCGUUAAUAGCGGCCUCGUUUGACGUUAGCUGCAGAAGAAGCACCGGCUAACUCCGUGCCAGCAGCCGCGGUAAUACGGAGGGUGCGAGCGUUAAUCGGAAUUACUGGGCGUAAAGCGCAUGCAGGUGGUUUGUUAAGUCAGAUGUGAAAGCCCGGGGCUCAACCUCGGAAUAGCAUUUGAAACUGGCAGACUAGAGUACUGUAGAGGGGGGUAGAAUUUCAGGUGUAGCGGUGAAAUGCGUAGAGAUCUGAAGGAAUACCAGUGGCGAAGGCGGCCCCCUGGACAAAGACUGACGCUCAGAUGCGAAAGCGUGGGGAGCAAACAGGAUUAGAU
This 458-nucleotide ribosomal RNA is filed under the name uncultured bacterium. Its description in RNAcentral is "bacterial SSU rRNA". It matches the Rfam family "Bacterial small subunit ribosomal RNA", at positions 335 to 783 of the family's 1533-position model. The record is from RNAcentral.